RNAcentral lists this ribosomal RNA (421 nucleotides) under uncultured bacterium. RNAcentral describes it as "bacterial SSU rRNA". It matches the Rfam family "Bacterial small subunit ribosomal RNA", at positions 360 to 773 of the family's 1533-position model. The record is from RNAcentral.
AAUUUUGGACAGUGGGCGCAAGCCUGAUCCAGCCAUGCCGCGUGCAGGAUGAAGGCCUUCGGGUUGUAAACUGCUUCUGUACGGAACGAAAAGGCUCUUUCUAAUAAAGAGGGCUCAUGACGGUACCGUAAGAAUAAGCCACGGCUAACUACGUGCCAGCAGCCGCGGUAAUACGUAGGUGGCAAGCGUUGUCCGGAUUUAUUGGGUUUAAAGGGUGCGUAGGCGGUCCUAUAAGUCAGUGCUGAAAUAUCCCGGCUUAACCGGGAGGGUGGCAUUGAUACUGCAGGACUUGAGUAAAGUUGAGGUGGGCGGAAUUGACGGUGUAGCGGUGAAAUGCUUAGAUAUCGUCAAGAACACCGAUUGCGAAGGCAGCUCACUAAGCUUUAACUGACGCUGAGGCACGAAAGUGUGGGGAUCAAAC